GAAAGAAAUCUGGAGAAUUUUUCUUUUAUGAAAAAAAGCAAAAAUAGUGUUCAGCAUUUGUUUUGCAGUGAGCCAUUGUAGAAGCUAAGCAGUCAAGCAUACUGUCAUAUUUUAAGCCUUCCACAUCCUCCCUGGUAGACAAGAAACCUUGACCUUCAACAUCAAGUCAGGCAGACACAGGAGAAGGUGUGGACAUUAGUAAGCUGCCUGCCCUGAUGGAUCCAGAAGAUGAUGAGAUGUUAAUAGAUGAAACCCAUCUCUUUCUACGUCCCAGUCUCCUGGACCUCCCACCGCCCCAACCUCCAAGGACUCAGCCUAACACCCCAUCAUCACCUCCACCACCUCUCCAGUGUGCUCACUGUUUUACUGAUUCUGAUCUUAUCAAUGAAAGUACAUGCACAGAUUAUUUGCAUAAAUUUGACGGUCGAUUAGGAUUUGAAGAGACUCUACAGUUGAGGCUUCAAAGCUUCACUCCUCGGACUCUUGUCCAGUUUCUACCACUGGGCCUCAUAGUGUUUCCCUCUUUCGUUUUAUAUCUUCUACUUUACUUGGCCACUGAAAUAAAUCAAAUAUGGAU
This 577-nucleotide long non-coding RNA is filed under the name Equus caballus (horse). RNAcentral describes it as "lncRNA (ENSECAG00000059990.1)". Lineage: Eukaryota; Metazoa; Chordata; Mammalia; Perissodactyla; Equidae. The record is from RNAcentral.